UACGAAGGGUGCAAACGUUGCUCGGAAUCAUUGGGCGUAAAGCGCACGUAGGCGGCGCUCUAAGUCGGAUGUGAAAUCUCCCGGCUCAACUGGGAGAGGUCAUUGGAUACUGGCGGACUAGAGGGGGGUAGAGGAAAGCAGAAUUCCUGGUGUAGCGGUGAAAUGCGUAGAUAUCAGGAGGAAUACCAGUGGCGAAGGCGGCUUUCUGGGCCUACCCUGACGCUGAGGAGCGAAAGCGUGGGGAGCAAACCGG
RNAcentral lists this ribosomal RNA (253 nucleotides) under uncultured bacterium. RNAcentral's name for it is "partial 16S ribosomal RNA". It matches the Rfam family "Bacterial small subunit ribosomal RNA", at positions 524 to 776 of the family's 1533-position model. The record is from RNAcentral.